RNAcentral lists this ribosomal RNA (610 nucleotides) under Hydraena canakcioglui. RNAcentral describes it as "partial 16S ribosomal RNA". It matches the Rfam family "Bacterial large subunit ribosomal RNA", at positions 1819 to 2725 of the family's 2925-position model. Lineage: Eukaryota; Metazoa; Arthropoda; Insecta; Coleoptera; Hydraenidae. The record is from RNAcentral. RNAcentral also lists the same sequence under 1 other name.
GUCCUUUUGAUAAUAAUAUAAGGUCUAACCUGCCCACUGAAUAUUUUAAAGGGCCGCAGUAUUUUAACUGUGCAAAGGUAGCAUAAUAAUUAGUUUCUUAAUUAGAAGCUGGUAUGAAUGGUUGAACGAGAAAUUUUCUGUCUCAAUUUAUAUAUUAAAAUUUUAUUUUUAAGUUAAAAAGCUUAAAUUAAUUUAAAAGACGAGAAGACCCUAUAGAGUUUUAUAAAUUUAAAUAUUUAUUUUUUAGAAUUUUUUUAUAUUUUUAUUUAUUUUAUUGGGGUGAUAUAUAAAUUUAAAUAACUUUAUAUUUUUAAAAACAUUAAUUAAUGAAAAAUUGAUCCAUUUUAAUGAUUAAAAGAAAAAAUUACCUUAGGGAUAACAGCGUUAUUUUUUUUUAGAGUUCUAAUCGAAAAAAAAGAUUGCGACCUCGAUGUUGGAUUAAAAUUAAUUUUUGGUGUAGAAGCUAAAAUAUUAGGUCUGUUCGACCUUUAAAAUUUUACAUGAUCUGAGUUUAAACCGGCGUGAGCCAGGUUGGUUUCUAUCUUUAAAUAACAUAAAUAUUUUAGUACGAAAGGACCAAGUAUUUUUAAAAUUUAAUAUUUUUUGAAUA